This 1405-nucleotide ribosomal RNA is filed under the name metagenome. RNAcentral describes it as "bacterial LSU rRNA". It matches the Rfam family "Bacterial large subunit ribosomal RNA", at positions 1509 to 2925 of the family's 2925-position model. The record is from RNAcentral.
UGUCCAAGCAUCAAGGCUGGCCAGUAGGAAAGACCGCUGGCUUAAAGGCUGAGGUGUGAUGGGGAGCGAAAUUAGAGUAGCGAAGAAUCUGAAUUCACACUGUCAAGAAAAGCUGCUAACGAGAUAUCAGGCGCCCGUACCGCAAACCGACACAGGUAGAUGAGGAGAGAAUCCUAAGAUGAGCGAGAGAAGCGUUGUUAAGAAACUCGGCAAAGUAACCCCGUAACUUCGGGAGAAGGGGUGCCACUGAAAGGUGGCCGCAGAGAAAUGGCCCAAGCGACUGUUUAGCAAAAACACAGGUCUCUGCUAAAUCGAAAGAUGAAGUAUAGGGGCUGACGCCUGCCCGGUGCUGGAAGGUUAAGGGGAAAGGUAAGCGCAAGCGAAGCUUUGAACUUAAGCCCCAGUAAACGGCGGCCGUAACAAUAACGGUCCUAAGGUAGCGAAAUUCCUUGUCAGGUAAGUUCUGACCCGCACGAAUGGCGUAACGACUUGGGCACUGUCUCAACAACGCGCUCGGCGAAAUUGUAGCACUAGUGAAGAUGCUAGUUACCCGCGAUUGGACGGAAAGACCCCGUAGAGCUUCACUGCAGCUUGACAUUGGGUUUUGGUAUUUCAUGUACAGGAUAGGUGGGAGACAGCGAAGCAGUAACGCCAGUUACUGUGGAGUCGGCGUUGGGAUACCACUCUUGAGAUACCGGAAUUCUAACCAGUGGCCAUGGAACUGGUCAUGGGACAUAGUCAGGUGGGCAGUUUGACUGGGGCGGUCGCCUCCCAAAGAGUAACGGAGGCGUCCAAAGGUUCCCUCAGAAUGGUUGGAAAUCAUUCGUAGAGUGCAAAGGCAGAAGGGAGCCUGACUGCGAGAGAGACAACUCGAGCAGGUACGAAAGUAGGGCUUAGUGAUCCGGUGGUACCGAGUGGAAGGGCCAUCGCUCAACGGAUAAAAGCUACCUCGGGGAUAACAGGCUUAUCUCCCCCAAGAGUCCACAUCGACGGGGAGGUUUGGCACCUCGAUGUCGGCUCGUCGCAUCCUGGGGCUGGAGUAGGUCCCAAGGGUUGGGCUGUUCGCCCAUUAAAGCGGCACGCGAGCUGGGUUCAGAACGUCGUGAGACAGUUCGGUCCCUAUCCGUCGCGGGCGUAGGAAAUUUGAGGAGAUCUGUCCUUAGUACGAGAGGACCGGGAUGGACGAACCACUGGUGUAUCAGUUGUCCUGCCAAGGGCAUGGCUGAGUAGCCAAGUUCGGGACGGAUAAGCGCUGAAGGCAUCUAAGCGCGAAACCGGCUCCAAGAUAAGAUUUCCCACAGCGUAGGCUGGUAAGACCCCAUGCAGACUACAUGGUAGAUAGGUCGGAGGUGUAAGCACAGCAAUGUGUUGAGCUGACCGAUACUAAUAGGUCGAGGGCUUGAUC